This 285-nucleotide ribosomal RNA is filed under the name Ricinoides karschii. Its description in RNAcentral is "partial small subunit ribosomal RNA". Lineage: Eukaryota; Metazoa; Arthropoda; Arachnida; Ricinulei; Ricinoididae. The record is from RNAcentral.
GGUUGAAGUAGUGAGAGGUGAGCUUGAAACUUAAGAAUUUUGGCGGUCUUUUUUAUCUUUCUAGAGGAAUUUGCUCUUUAAUCGAUAGUCCGCGUUUAAUUUUACUUGGUUGGGGUUUGUAUACCGCUGUUUAUAAUGUUUUUGUAUAGAAUGUUGGUGAAGAGGUCUCAGUAAAUCAAGUCAAGGUGCAGCUUUUAAUUGAGGUUGAAGUGAAUUACACCUUGGAUUUUUUAUUGAAAUAUUAAAAUGAGAUAGGAUUUAGAAGUAAUUGAGAAUUAGAAUGUU